RNAcentral lists this ribosomal RNA (1143 nucleotides) under fungal sp. F185. RNAcentral's name for it is "eukaryotic LSU rRNA". The stretch from base 548 to 1143 matches the Rfam family "Eukaryotic large subunit ribosomal RNA", at positions 1 to 605 of the family's 3401-position model. The record is from RNAcentral. Lineage: Eukaryota; Fungi.
UUACUGAGAACCGGGCCCUCGCGGUCCGACCCUCAACCACCGCGUACCAAACUUUUCGUUGCCUCGGCGGGCCGGGCCUACGCCCACCGCCUCACCCCCCCGCUCACCCGGGGAGGCGAGGGGGGUCGCGCCCGCCGCAGGACACCAAAAAAACCGUUUCGUAUGACGAACGUCUGAUAUUCUUUUAGCGAAUGCUAUAAAGUACAACUUUCAACAAUGGAUCUCUUGGCUCUGGCAUCGAUGAAGAACGCAGCGAAAUGCGAUAACUAGUGUGAAUUGCAGAUUUCAGUGAAUCAUCGAGUCUUUGAACGCACAUUGCGCCCCUUGGUAUUCCUCGGGGCAUGCCUAUUCGAGCGUCGUUUCCACCCUCAAGCCCAGGCUUGGUGUUGGGGAUCGCCCCUCCUCCGUGAGGCGGCGGCCCUUGAAUUCAUCGGCGGUGCCGGUGUGGCCCUGAGCGCAGCAGCGAUGCAGCUCUCGACCCUCCGAAACCGGCCGCGCAAGACAGCAGGCGGUACCCUUCGCGGUCCACCGGCAAAAAUCCAAACGUCGACCUCGAAUUAGGUAGGGAUACCCGCUGAACUUAAGCAUAUCAAUAAGCGGAGGAAAAGAAACCAACAGGGAUUGCCUCAGUAACGGCGAGUGAAGCGGCAACAGCUCAAAUUUGAAAUCUGGCUCCUUUGGAGUCCGAGUUGUAAUUUGUAGAGGAUGCUUCGGCGUCGGCCCCGCACAAAGUUCCUUGGAACGGGACGUCAUAGAGGGUGAGAGCCCCGUGUCUAUGCGGAUGCCUUCGCCAUGUGAAGCUCCUUCGACGAGUCGAGUUGUUUGGGAAUGCAGCUCAAAACGGGAGGUAAAUUUCUUCCAAAGCUAAAUACCGGCCAGAGACCGAUAGUGCACAAGUAGAGUGAUCGAAAGAUGAAAAGCACUUUGGAAAGAGAGUCAAACAGCGCGUGAAAUUGUUGAAAGGGAAGCGCUUGAGGUUAGACUUUGCCGUAGUUGUUCGGCGGGGCUUCUGCCCCGUUUACUCUUCUGCGGCAGGGCCAGCAUCGAUUUGGGCGGCUGGACAAAAGUCGCGGGAACGUAGCACCUCUCGGGGUGUGUUAUAGCCCGCGGCACAAUGCAGCCAGCCCGGAUCGAGGUCUGCGC